RNAcentral lists this ribosomal RNA (421 nucleotides) under uncultured bacterium. RNAcentral describes it as "partial 16S ribosomal RNA". It matches the Rfam family "Bacterial small subunit ribosomal RNA", at positions 360 to 773 of the family's 1533-position model. The record is from RNAcentral.
AAUAUUGGACAAUGGGGGCAACCCUGAUCCAGCCAUGCCGCGUGUGUGAAGAAGGUCUNCGGAUUNUNAAGCACUUUAAGUUGGGNGAGAGGGCUUUAGGUUAAUACCUUACUGUUUUGACGUUACCGACAGAAUAAGCACCGGCUAACUCUGUUCCAGCAGCCGCGGUAAUAAAGAGGGUGCAAGCGUUAAUCGGAAUUACUGGGCGUAAAGCGCGCGUAGGUGGUUCAGUAAGAUGGGUGUGAAAUCCCCGGGCUUAACCUGGGAACUGCUUUCAUAACUGCUGAGCUAGAGUACGGUAGAGGGUAGUGGAAUUUCCUGUGUAGCGGUGAAAUGCGUAGAUAUAGGAAGGAACACCAGUGGCGAAGGCGACUACCUGGACUGAUACUGACACUGAGGUGCGAAAGCGUGGGGAGCAAAC